AUUUCAGCAUUAUAAUCAACGC
RNAcentral lists this unclassified non-coding RNA (22 nucleotides) under Mus musculus (house mouse). Its description in RNAcentral is "oocyte_clustered_small_RNA5252". The record is from RNAcentral. Lineage: Eukaryota; Metazoa; Chordata; Mammalia; Rodentia; Muridae.